GGAGUUGGCUAGGCAAUCGCUGCCUCGUCGUUGUGUUCCCCCUUCGGGAGGGGCAGACGGGCGAGGGGGAGGAAAGUCCGGGCUCCACAGGGCAGGGUGCCAGGUAACACCUGGGAGGCGUGAGCCUACGACCAGUGCAGCAGAGAGCAGACCGCCGAUGGCUCCUUCGGGAGCACAGGUAAGGGUGAAAGGGUGCGGUAAGAGCGCACCGCGCGGCUGGCAACAGUUCGCGGCACGGUAAACUCCACCCGGAGCAAGACCAAAUAGGGGUUCAUUGGUGCGGCCCGCACUGAACCCGGGUAGGUUGCUUGAGCCCAGGAGCGAUCCUGGGCCUAGAGGAAUGAUUGUCCACGACAAGACCCGGCUUAUCGGCCAACUCCAACC
This 384-nucleotide RNase P RNA is filed under the name Ferrimonas sediminum. RNAcentral's name for it is "Bacterial RNase P class A". It matches the Rfam family "Bacterial RNase P class A". Rfam says of the family: Ribonuclease P (RNase P) is a ubiquitous endoribonuclease, found in archaea, bacteria and eukarya as well as chloroplasts and mitochondria. Its best characterised activity is the generation of mature 5'-ends of tRNAs by cleaving the 5'-leader elements of precursor-tRNAs. Cellular RNase Ps are ribonucleoproteins. Lineage: Bacteria; Pseudomonadati; Pseudomonadota; Gammaproteobacteria; Alteromonadales; Ferrimonadaceae. The record is from RNAcentral.